CGCUAAUACCGCAUACGUCCUACGGGAGAAAGCCGGGGGGAUCUUCGGACCUCGCGCCAUUAGAUGAGCCUAGGUCGGAUUAGCUAGUUGGUGAGGUAAUGGCUCACCAAGGCGACGAUCCGUAACUGGUCUGAGAGGAUGAUCAGUCACACUGGAACUGAGACACGGUCCAGACUCCUACGGGAGGCAGCAGUGGGGAAUCUUGCGCAAUGCGCGAAAGCGUGACGCAGCAACACCGCGUGGGGAAGACGGCCUUCGGGUUGUAACCUCUUUCAGGAGGGACGAAGGUCGGCCGGUUAACAGCCGUGCCGGCUGACGGUACCUCCAGAAGAAGCUCCGGCUAACUACGUG
This 351-nucleotide ribosomal RNA is filed under the name uncultured bacterium. Its description in RNAcentral is "bacterial SSU rRNA". It matches the Rfam family "Bacterial small subunit ribosomal RNA", at positions 161 to 507 of the family's 1533-position model. The record is from RNAcentral.